This 515-nucleotide ribosomal RNA is filed under the name Polyura eudamippus (great nawab). RNAcentral describes it as "partial 16S ribosomal RNA". Lineage: Eukaryota; Metazoa; Arthropoda; Insecta; Lepidoptera; Nymphalidae. The record is from RNAcentral.
GUCUUUUAGUAAAUAAUUUAAAGUCUAAUCUGCCCACUGAUAUAAUUAUAUUGAAGGGCUGCAGUAUAUUGACUGUACAAAGGUAGCAUAAUCAUUAGUCUUUUAAAUGAAGACUUGUAUGAAAGAUUUGAUGAAAUAUAAACUGUCUCUUAAUUAAAUAAUAAAAUUUUAUUUUUUAGUAAAAAAGCUAAAAUUUAUUUAAAAGACGAGAAGACCCUAUAGAGUUUUAUAAUUAUUUUAUUUAAAAUUAAAUAUUUAAUUUAUUAUUAAAAAUAAAAUAAUUAUUAUAUUGGGGUGAUAGAAAAAUUUAUAAAACUUUUUUUAAAAAUUAAACAUUAAUAAAUGAUUAUAUGAUCCAUUAAUAAUGAUUAUAAGAAAAAAUUACCUUAGGGAUAACAGCGUAAUAUUUUUUUUUAGUUCAAAUAAAAAAAAAAGUUUGCGACCUCGAUGUUGGAUUAAGAUAAAAUUUAAAUGCAAAAGUUUAAAAUUUUGAUCUGUUCGAUCAUUAAAAUCUU